This 254-nucleotide ribosomal RNA is filed under the name uncultured bacterium. RNAcentral describes it as "partial 16S ribosomal RNA". It matches the Rfam family "Bacterial small subunit ribosomal RNA", at positions 524 to 776 of the family's 1533-position model. The record is from RNAcentral.
UACGUAGGGUGCGAGCGUUGUCCGGAAUUAUUGGGCGUAAAGAGCUCGUAGGCGGUCUGUCGCGUCGGUCGUGAAAACUUGGGGCUCAACCCUGAGCUUGCGGUCGAUACGGGCAUGACUGGAGUUCGGCAGGGGAGACUGGAAUUCCUGGUGUAGCGGUGAAAUGCGCAGAUAUCAGGAGGAACACCGGUGGCGAAGGCGGGUCUCUGGGCCGAUACUGACGCUGAGGAGCGAAAGCGUGGGGAGCGAACAGG